Molecule: ribosomal RNA, 588 nt
Filed under: uncultured marine eukaryote
Lineage: Eukaryota
Description: SSU rRNA
Rfam family: Eukaryotic small subunit ribosomal RNA
Source: RNAcentral
UUGCGGUUAAAAAGCUCGUAGUUGGAUCUCAACAGCCUUGAAGCGGUUAACUUUGUAGUUUUACUGCUUUAUAGGCUGUGCUUUUGCUGGAGGUUUAGUGGUGCUCUUGAUCGAGUGUCUCUGGAUGCCAGCAGGUUUACUUUGAAAAAAUUAGAGUGCUCAAAGCAGGCUAAAAUGCCUGAAUAUUCGUGCAUGGAAUAAUAGAAUAGGAUGUCGAUCCUAUUUUGUUGGUUUUCGGGACUCGACAUAAUGAUAAAUAGGGACAGUCGGGGGCAUUUGUACUCAAACGACAGAGGUGAAAUUCUUGGACCGUUUGAAGACAAACUACUGCGAAAGCAUUUGCCAAGAAUGUUUUCAUUAAUCAAGAACGAAAGUUAGAGGUUCGAAGGCGAUUAGAUACCGCCCUAGUUCUAACCAUAAACGAUGCCAGCUAGCGAUCUGCCUGCGUUUUUACUGUAGACUGGGCAGGAAGCUUCCGGGAUACCAAAGCAUUUGGGUUCCAGGGGAAGUAUGGUUGCAAAGCUGAAACUUAAAGGAAUUGACGGAAGGGCACCACCAGGAGUGGAGCCUGUGGCUUAAUUUGACUCA